GGGUGCGAACAUACCAGCACUAAUGUACCGGUUCCCAUCAGAACUCCGUAGUUAAGCGUGCUUAAGGUAGAGUUGUACUAGGAUGGGUGACCUCCUGGGAAGUCCUCGUGUUGCACCCC
This 119-nucleotide ribosomal RNA is filed under the name Gossypium arboreum. Lineage: Eukaryota; Viridiplantae; Streptophyta; Magnoliopsida; Malvales; Malvaceae. The record is from RNAcentral.